RNAcentral lists this ribosomal RNA (498 nucleotides) under uncultured bacterium. RNAcentral's name for it is "partial 16S ribosomal RNA". It matches the Rfam family "Bacterial small subunit ribosomal RNA", at positions 28 to 508 of the family's 1533-position model. The record is from RNAcentral.
GAUGAACGCUGGCGGCGUGCCUAAUACAUGCAAGUCGAGCGAACAGACGAGGAGCUUGCUCCUCUGACGUUAGCGGCGGACGGGUGAGUAACACGUGGAUAACCUACCUAUAAGACUGGGAUAACUUCGGGAAACCGGAGCUAAUACCGGAUAAUAUAUUGAACCGCAUGGUUCAAUAGUGAAAGACGGUUUUGCUGUCACUUAUAGAUGGAUCCGCGCCGCAUUAGCUAGUUGGUAAGGUAACGGCUUACCAAGGCAACGAUGCGUAGCCGACCUGAGAGGGGGAGCGGCCACACUGGAACGGAGACACGGUCCAGACUGCUACGGGAGGCAGCAGUAGGGAAUCGUCCGCAAUGGGCGAAAGCCUGACGGAGCAACGCCGAGGGAGGGAUGAAGGUCUUCGGAUCGUAAAACUCGGUUAUUAGGGAAGAACAAAUGUGUAAGUAAAGAUGCACGUCUUGACGGUACCUAAUCAGAAAGCCACGGCGAACUACGUGC